CCUACGGGAGGCAGCAGUGAGGAAUAUUGGUCAAUGGACGAGAGUCUGAACCAGCCAAGUAGCGUGAAGGAUGACUGCCCUAUGGGUUGUAAACUUCUUUUAUAUGGGACUAAAAUGUUCCACGUGUGGGAUUUUGUAUGUACCAUAUGAAUAAGGAUCGGCUAACUCCGUGCCAGCAGCCGCGGUAAUACGGAGGAGCCGAGCGUUAUCCGGAUUUAGUGGGUUUAAAGGGAGCGUAGGUGGAUUGUUAAGUCAGUUGUGAAAGUUUGCGGCUCAACCGGAAAAUUGCAGUUGAAACUGGCAGUCUUGAGUACAGGAGAGGUGGGCGGAAUUCGUGGUGUAGCGGUGAAAUGCUUAGAUAUCACGAAGAACUCCGAUUGCGAAGGCAGCUCACUGGACUGCAACUGACACUGAGGCUCGAAAGUGUGGGUAUCAAACAGGAUUAGAUACCCCUGUAGUC
RNAcentral lists this ribosomal RNA (460 nucleotides) under uncultured bacterium. RNAcentral describes it as "partial 16S ribosomal RNA". It matches the Rfam family "Bacterial small subunit ribosomal RNA", at positions 338 to 795 of the family's 1533-position model. The record is from RNAcentral.